Molecule: ribosomal RNA, 459 nt
Filed under: uncultured bacterium
Lineage: Bacteria
Description: partial 16S ribosomal RNA
Rfam family: Bacterial small subunit ribosomal RNA
Source: RNAcentral
CCUACGGGAGGCAGCAGUGAGGAAUAUUGGUCAAUGGCCGGAAAGCUGAACCAGCCAUGCCGCGUGAAGGUCAGUGCCCUAUGGGCGUUAAACUUCUUUUGUGCGGGAGCAAUAAUGGUCACGUGUGGCCAGACGAGAGUACCGUACGAAUAAGCAUCGGCUAACUCCGGGCCAGCAGCCGCGGUAAUACGGGGGAUGCAAGCGUUAUCCGGAUUUAGUGGGUUUAAAGGGUGCGUAGGCUGUGAGGUAAGUCAGCGGUGAAAGUCUUUGGCUCAACCAUAGAAUUGCCGUUGAAACUGGGAGUCUUGAGUAUGUUUGAGGCAGGCGGAAUGCGUGGUGUAGCGGUGAAAUGCUUAGAUAUCACGCAGAACCCCGAUUGCGAAGGCAGCCUGCCAAGCCAUGACUGACGCUGAUGCACGAAAGCGUGGGGAUCAAACAGGAUUAGAUACCCGAGUAGUC